Molecule: ribosomal RNA, 492 nt
Filed under: uncultured bacterium
Lineage: Bacteria
Description: partial 16S ribosomal RNA
Rfam family: Bacterial small subunit ribosomal RNA
Source: RNAcentral
AGUGAACGCUGGCGGUAGGCCUAACACAUGCAAGUCGAACGGCAGCACGGUAAGAGCUUGCUCUUACGGGUGGCGAGUGGCGGACGGGUGAGGAAUACAUCGGAAUCUACUUUUUCGUGGGGGAUAACGUAGGGAAACUUACGCUAAUACCGCAUACGACCUACGGGUGAAAGCAGGGGAUCUUCGGACCUUGCGCGAUUGAAUGAGCCGAUGUCGGAUUAGCUAGUUGGCGGGGUAAAGGCCCACCAAGGCGACGAUCCGUAGCUGGUCUGAGAGGAUGAUCAGCCACACUGGAACUGAGACACGGUCCAGACUACUACGGGAGGCAGCAGUGGGGAAUAUUGGACAAUGGGCGCAAGCCUGAUCCAGCCAUACCGCGUGGGUGAAGAAGGCCUUCGGGUUGUAAAGCCCUUUUGUUGGGAAAGAAAAGCAGCAGGUUAAUACCCCGCUGUUCUGACGGUACCCAAAGAAUAAGCACCGGCUAACUUCGUG